GACGAACGCUGGCGGCGUGCCUAAUACAUGCAAGUUGAGCGCUGAAGGUUGGUACUUGUACCAACUGGAUGAGCAGCGAACGGGUGAGUAACGCGUGGGGAAUCUGCCUUUGAGCGGGGGACAACAUUUGGAAACGAAUGCUAAUACCGCAUAAAAACUUUAAACACAAGUUUUAAGUUUGAAAGAUGCAAUUGCAUCACUCAAAGAUGAUCCCGCGUUGUAUUAGCUAGUUGGUGAGGUAAAGGCUCACCAAGGCGAUGAUACAUAGCCGACCUGAGAGGGUGAUCGGCCACAUUGGGACUGAGACAAGGCCCAAAAUCCUACGGGGGGGAGCAGUAGGGGAUCUUCGGCAAUGGACGAAAGUCUGAACGAGCAAAGCCGCGUGAGUGAAGAAGGUUUUCGGAUCGUAAAAAUCUGUUGGUAGAGAAGAACGUUGGUGAGAGUGGAAAGCUCAUCAAGUGACGGUAACUACCCAGAAAGGGACGGCUAACUACGUG
RNAcentral lists this ribosomal RNA (497 nucleotides) under uncultured bacterium. RNAcentral's name for it is "partial 16S ribosomal RNA". It matches the Rfam family "Bacterial small subunit ribosomal RNA", at positions 28 to 507 of the family's 1533-position model. The record is from RNAcentral.